ACCUCCGGACUGGGGUUCGCAAGCUUCACGGCGAACGUACCUCGGGAAGUUGGUUAAAUCUCACUAUUUAGAGGAAGGUGAAGUCGUAACAAGGUCUCCGUAGGUGAACCUGCAGAAGGAUC
RNAcentral lists this ribosomal RNA (122 nucleotides) under Aureococcus anophagefferens. RNAcentral's name for it is "partial small subunit ribosomal RNA". It matches the Rfam family "Eukaryotic small subunit ribosomal RNA", at positions 1706 to 1827 of the family's 1831-position model. The record is from RNAcentral. Lineage: Eukaryota; Pelagophyceae; Pelagomonadales; Pelagomonadaceae.